AGUGCCUUUAUGUUGGCAAUGAAAAUUCAGUCCCUUUUGGAAACCAAUGCACCGGGGAUGGAAACGGUCCGAGGCCCCAGCAACCCUCCCGCGGCUGCCCGACAAAGGCUGAACUAAUCAUUAACUGCAGAGGCAAAGCGAGGUCUGUUCCCUCCGCCCGAGCCCAGGCAGCAGCCGCCAAGGGAGAGCGGAGAGACAGACCCACUCACCCCACUCCGUCCUGCCGCCUGGUCUCUCGCAAACACGGACACUCAGCCUCUGGGUCCGCUCAUUCCGGCAGAGAGACGACCACGCGCUCGCUCUCCACAGCCUCCCUGCUGCCUCUUCUUCCCAUCAAAGACACACACAGCUCACCCUGGAUCCUCUCAAGCGCCUGCCUCCUUCCCGUCACAGUUCUUCUCUCCCAUCACUAGCUGCUGCGCUCCUACACACCCACCCUGUAUCCUCUCACAUCUGCCUCAACCCAUCCCACCGGCGCAGGCUCCACAGGAUACACCCUCAGCUCAAUGCAAUAGUACUUCAGUGGCAGGGCGAGCCACACGGUGCAGUGUAAAAACCUGAGGUCUGGACAGGGCUUCCCAGUGUGUUUCUGCUUUUAUCCCAUGGCCCUUGGUCCUUACUGUUGUUUACCCCAUCCCCUGGCAGGUGGUUAUGUGUGAUGAGUCACUAUCUAUGGCUCUUACUGCUGUAGUAUCUGACUUGCUCACACUAUUUAAUGCGUCUUUCCUGCCAACAUCCUUAUGAGGUAGGGAUCUGCUAUUAUCCCCCUUUUAGCGAUGAGGAACUGAGAGACUAAGGCUACGUCUUCACUACCUGCCUGAAUCGGCGGGGAGAAAUCGAUCUCUCGGGGAUCGAAUUAUCGCAUCUCGUCGGGACGCGACAAUCGAUCCCCGAAUCAACGCUUGUACUCCACCAGCCCAGGUAGGAGUAAGCACCGUCGAUGGGGGAGCCGCGGAGGUCGAUUUGCCACCGUUCUCACAGCGGGGUAAGUCGCUCGGAUACGUCGAAUUCAGCUACGCUAUUUGCGUAGCUGAAUUUGCGUAUCUUAAAUCGAUCCUUCCCCGCCCCCCCCCGGUAGUGAGGACGUAGCCUAAGGGUGACACUUUCAAAAGCACCUAAGGUGAGUUCCUAGCCCCUAUUGAAAGUCAAUGGGAUGGGAGUUAGGUACCUAAGUCACUUAGGCACUUUUUAAAAUGCCUCCCUAAAUGGUUUACUUAAGGCCACACAGGAACACACAAGAAGCCUGGGGUGGAGCAAGGAAUUAAAUUUAUAUAUCCCACAGAUCGGGCUAGCAGCUUAAUUUUUGAGCCAUCCUUCCUCUUUUAUUGCUUGUUUUUCUUCUGGCAGCUUUUAUUUUCUUUUCUUUUCUUUAAUGAAAAAUAUUUUAUCUUGGUUGAUAAUUACAGGAAAGAUCUUUCUCAAACUCUCUUGUGUGUCACACAUUGGAAUAUAAGAACGGCCAUACAGGGUCAGACCAAGGGUCCCUCUAGCCCAGUAUCCUGUCUUCCGACAGUGGACAAUGCCAGGUGCCCCGGAGGGAAUGAACAGAACACGUAAUCGUCAAGUGAUCCAUCCCCUAUCACCCAUUCCCAGCUUUGGUGUCUCAAUUUCUUCUCUGUCCCAUUGGUUCCCAUCUGGGGUUGAAUGGUGCUUCAGGACUUCCAGUUUUCAUGUCUAGUUUGUAUUCAUGGAUUCUGCACUUGGUAAGAGUCCAGUUUAGCUUUGUGUUUCACUGUAGUGAGGGUAGUCUGCUGUGAUAGCUCUGCACAAGGGUUUGUAGCAGUCUAAAGGGUUGAUUUCUUCCCAGUGUUUCAUAUAUUGUUAUUAUGUAGGGUCUAGCAUCUUGAGCAUUUUCAGAUUUUUCACUCCAUUGGUUGGGAGGUUAGGGCUGUUGAGAGCAGGAAAUACAAGAGUGGAUUACGCCUCUGUAGUUAUUUGGGUUGAGAACCUCUUCAUUUUUGAGUACUGGGGCCGGCUUUUAUGUACUAGGGUACUUAUUACUUGUUUCACAAUAUGCAUAUUCAUGUUGCUGAACUGUAGGUCCAUUAUGGCCCCUUUGCUAUGCUAAGGGUAAAUCUGCCCAAGGAGCCCCUCUUGUUCUACCAUUGAGAACAUUUUCCGUAUAUUAGCAGUUUCUUCCCAUUUGUGUUGAUGGUGAUGCUCAACAAUCCCUAUUUUAAUGGGGUGUUACGAUAAGGUACAUCAUCUCUAAAUCCGUUUAUCUCCCUUUGUAGAGAUGGAAUCCAGUUCCCUGCUUGUACAGUCACUUACGGCUUAUGUACUACAUCUGAGAGAGACAGCUAUCACCAGUGCAAGUGCUUUGAAGUGCUAAUUUCGUUUAUUUUCUAGUCUGCUGCUCUUUCACUCUUUUCUUGCCUACCCCUUUACUGCUGGUCACUGUUGCUAAACAUGACUUCCAACCACAGGACAGGUGAAAAGUUCCCCAUGAAAACCACUGUCAGCAUUGCUCUCUCCACUGAUCUCAAAGCGCUCAGCAUGCAGUGGGCAAUCUGCUGCUGUAAAUUAGUGUGAAGGUGGAAAAAACCCAGCAAAAGCCCACAUUAAUCACACUAUCCAGGCCAAUAAUCACAAAACAGGAGGGCCAGACUGUAGUUGACAAAACAAGAAACAAACAAACAUCAAACACUAAUUGUUUAUUUUAAGACCCUACUAACUACAAAUAAAAGUGUGAAUGCCCCAUGGCA
Chrysemys picta bellii (western painted turtle) is the source of this 2705-nucleotide long non-coding RNA. The record is from Ensembl. Lineage: Eukaryota; Metazoa; Chordata; Testudines; Emydidae.